Molecule: small RNA, 67 nt
Filed under: Castor canadensis (American beaver)
Lineage: Eukaryota; Metazoa; Chordata; Mammalia; Rodentia; Castoridae
Description: XIST 3' intron conserved motif (ENSCCNG00000008373.1)
Rfam family: XIST 3' intron conserved motif
Source: RNAcentral
UUGACCUUUUCUGUUUUUAAUUCACUCACAGAGGGUGGGACAGGAGGCGAGUGAAUGAAAAGGCCAA